This is a long non-coding RNA of Daphnia pulex (common water flea), 767 nucleotides long. RefSeq lists it as uncharacterized. Lineage: Eukaryota; Metazoa; Arthropoda; Branchiopoda; Diplostraca; Daphniidae. The record is from RefSeq and is a predicted model, not a curated record. The transcript has 4 exons.
CACUGCGUUAAUAAAGCGGUAGAAUCGUAUUAGACAACAUUUGUAUAUUAAACUAGAAUUCAGAUUACAAUUACUAGAAUUUAUACAAAGAAGGACUCGUUCAUAAAGUUUCAGAAAUUGUUAUGUUUAAUGGCCAUUUGAUGUCAGUACUCAGUAGUUUCUUAAAUCAGAAUCGGAAGGAGGAACUAAGCUUGCUGACCACAAAAAAAUUUAAGGUUGAUGAUGUAACAGUUUGCAAUCAGGAGUGCAGGUUUUGAAAUCGUGAAACAGAACCUCCUGAUUUUCCUUUACAAGUACAUGACUAGUUUAUGCAGUGAUUCAACCCAGGUUUUUACUUGACAACUAUAAUGGGUUCAACUAGCUACUGAAUGUCAAGUCAUUGCUGCCGAGUUUCAACUGGUACUCACAAAGAGUUUAUCAACUCCACAGUUCUGUACCACACGAAAAAGAUCUCAUUCUCUGAAGUGGUGAUAGCUCAAGCCAAGUAGCUGCAGAAAAUUAAAUCGACACAGCAGAGCAGCAGAGCUUGACAUGUGAUCAGUUUAAGGUCUUGACUUUUGCUACUGUUGUAACAUGCAGACAUUCACUAUUAAUGGACUCCCAACUUCUAGAUAGUCUAGAUUGCCUCAUUGCUCUACCAUCCGGGAUAACAUUCUCAGUAUUAAGAACUAUUUGAUCCGAUUUUUUAUGACUCGCCAUUCGCCAAUCUGAUAAUAAUCGUCUGCAAAAAUUUCCGCCAACAUAAAAAAUUUGUCGAGCAAUUGAAG